This 260-nucleotide unclassified non-coding RNA is filed under the name Hevea brasiliensis (rubber tree). The record is from RNAcentral. Lineage: Eukaryota; Viridiplantae; Streptophyta; Magnoliopsida; Malpighiales; Euphorbiaceae.
GGGAACACACUCUUUCCAACCCCACGUAUAAACUUCUCCACCAUCUGUGUCUAAGAAAUCAAAAAGUGCUCAGCCUACCAGUCUAUAAAGAGUGAUUUUUACCUAAGAAAAUAUUGGUCACAGAUAAAUCAGAUUAGUAGAAACAGACUAAUCAGGCUUCAUCUAUGCCCAUGAAGAAACUAACUAAUCAGGCUACGUCUAUGCCCUUGAAGAAACAAUGAGGAGAUCAGCAUUACCUGUAGCUGCUACACAAUGGGCCC